This is a long non-coding RNA of Zootoca vivipara (common lizard), 321 nucleotides long. RefSeq lists it as uncharacterized. The record is from RefSeq and is a predicted model, not a curated record. Lineage: Eukaryota; Metazoa; Chordata; Lepidosauria; Squamata; Lacertidae.
ACCAACCCCCUUCCAGCGCUCGGAAAUAAUAAUACUCUGCAGUGCACUCUAAAAGUAUUAUAUUUUGCUCAUUGAAGGAGGCUGCGCCCCUGCUGGGCUGUUUGCAUAUAGAGCCUCUGCGUCGUGGAUGCUUUGAUUAAAGGCACUGUUUUUUAAGGUGAUGUGCGAAGCAACGAGCUAAGCAACGGAGUUAAAUUUAGGCAUUCGACGUGUGUGUCAGAGAGAAAAUUCUAUCUUUGAAAGGACAAGAACAGCUCGUGCAAAAGAAGAGCCCGUUUCAGAUGUCACCACACUUGCAGAAACCGCUAUUUGCAAGAACUA